ACCUUGUUUGUUGCUGCUCCU
RNAcentral lists this microRNA (21 nucleotides) under Caenorhabditis briggsae. Its description in RNAcentral is "cbr-miR-354". Its record names the gene cbr-miR-354. Lineage: Eukaryota; Metazoa; Nematoda; Chromadorea; Rhabditida; Rhabditidae. RNAcentral also lists the same sequence under 1 other name. The record is from miRBase by way of RNAcentral.